ACAAGCGGUGGAUGAUGUGGUUAAUUCGAUGCAACGCGAAAACCUUACCCACCUUUGACAUGUACGGAAUCCUUUAGAGAUAGAGGAGUGCUCGAAAGAGAACCGUAACACAGGUGCUGCAUGGCUGUCGUCAGCUCGUGUCGUGAGAUGUUGGGUUAAGUCCCGCAGCGAGCGCAACCCUUGUCAUUAGUUGCUACAUUCAGUUGGGCACUCUAAUGAGACUGCCGGUGACAAACCGGAGGAAGGUGGGGAUGACGUCAAGUCCUCAUGGCCCUUAUAGGUGGGGCUACACACGUCAUACAAUGGAUGGUACAAAGGGUCGCCAACCCGCGAGGGGGAGCCAAUCCCACAAAGCCGGUCGUAGUCCGGAUCGCAGUCUGCAACUCGACUGCGUGAAGUCGGAAUCGCUAGUAAUCGCGGAUCAGCAUGUCGCGGUGAAUACGUUCCCGGGUCUU
RNAcentral lists this ribosomal RNA (455 nucleotides) under uncultured Acidovorax sp. RNAcentral's name for it is "bacterial SSU rRNA". It matches the Rfam family "Bacterial small subunit ribosomal RNA", at positions 925 to 1382 of the family's 1533-position model. The record is from RNAcentral. Lineage: Bacteria; Pseudomonadati; Pseudomonadota; Betaproteobacteria; Burkholderiales; Comamonadaceae.